ACGCACCGAAAUGCGAUAGGUCUUGCGACUUGCAGAAUCCAGUGAAUCAUCAAAACUUUGAACGCAUCUUGCGCUUCCGGGAUAUGCCUGGGAGCAUGCUUGUCGGAGUGUCUGUU
This 116-nucleotide ribosomal RNA is filed under the name Stschapovia flagellaris. RNAcentral's name for it is "partial 5.8S rRNA". It matches the Rfam family "5.8S ribosomal RNA", at positions 43 to 154 of the family's 154-position model. From Rfam's summary of the family: 5.8S ribosomal RNA (5.8S rRNA) is a component of the large subunit of the eukaryotic ribosome. It is transcribed by RNA polymerase I as part of the 45S precursor that also contains 18S and 28S rRNA. Functionally, it is thought that 5.8S rRNA may be involved in ribosome translocation. The record is from RNAcentral. Lineage: Eukaryota; Phaeophyceae; Ectocarpales; Chordariaceae.